AACGAACGCUGGCGGCAGGCUUAACACAUGCAAGUCGAGCGCCCCGCAAGGGGAGCGGCAGACGGGUGAGUAACGCGUGGGGAUCUACCUUUUGCUACGGAAUAACGCAGGUAAACUCGUGCUAAUACCGUAUGUGCCCUUCGGGGGAAAGAUGUAUCGGCAGAGGAUGAGACCGCGUUGGAUUAGCUCGUUGGUGGGGUAAAGGCCUACCAAGGCGACGAUCCAUAGCUGGUCUGAGAGGAUGUGCAGCCACAUUGGGACUGAGACACGGCACAACAGCGAGCGGGAGUCAGCAGUGGGGAUAAUUGGGAAACGGGCGAGAGCCUGGUGGAGCCAUGCCGCGUUAGUGCUGAAGGCCUUAGGGUUGAAAAACUCUUUCACCGAUGAAGAUCAUGACGGUAACCGUAGAAGAAGACCCGGCUAACUUCGUGCCAGCAGCCGCCGCCG
Molecule: ribosomal RNA, 447 nt
Filed under: uncultured bacterium
Lineage: Bacteria
Description: partial 16S ribosomal RNA
Rfam family: Bacterial small subunit ribosomal RNA
Source: RNAcentral